CCUACGGGAGGCAGCAGUGGGGGAUAUUGCACAAUGGGGGAAACCCUGAUGCAGCGACGCCGCGUGAGUGAAGAAGUAUUUCGGUAUGUAAAGCUCUAUCAGCAGGGAAGAAAAUGACAGUAUCUGUCCAAGAAGCCACGGCUAACUACGUGCCAGCAGCCGCGGUAAUACGUAGGGGGCAAGCGUUAUCCGGAUCUACUGGGUGUAAAGGGAGCGUAGACGGUUAUGUAAGUCUGGAGUGAAAGCCCGGGGCGCAACCCCGGGACUGCUUUGGAAACUGUGUAACUGGAGUGCAGGAGGGGUAAGCGGAAUUCCUAGUGUAGCGGUGAAAUGCGUAGAUAUUAGGAGGAAUACCGGUGGCGAAGGCGGCUUACUGGACUGUAACUGACGUUGAGGUUCGAAAGCGUGGGGAGCAAACAGGAUUAGAUACCCGAGUAGUC
This 440-nucleotide ribosomal RNA is filed under the name uncultured bacterium. RNAcentral's name for it is "partial 16S ribosomal RNA". It matches the Rfam family "Bacterial small subunit ribosomal RNA", at positions 338 to 795 of the family's 1533-position model. The record is from RNAcentral.